CGGCGGACGGGUGAGUAAUGCCUAGGAAUCUGCCUGGUAGUGGGGGACGAACGUUUCGAAAGGAACGCUAAUACCGCAUACGUCCUACGGGAGAAAGCAGGGACCUUCGGGCCUUGCGCUAUCAGAUGAGCCUAGGUCGGAUUAGCUAGUUGGUGAGGUAAUGGCUCACCAAGGCGACGAUCCGUAACUGGUCUGAGAGGAUGAUCAGUCACACUGGAACUGAGACACGGUCCAGACUCCUACGGGAGGCAGCAGCA
RNAcentral lists this ribosomal RNA (257 nucleotides) under uncultured Pseudomonas sp. RNAcentral's name for it is "partial 16S ribosomal RNA". It matches the Rfam family "Bacterial small subunit ribosomal RNA", at positions 96 to 355 of the family's 1533-position model. Lineage: Bacteria; Pseudomonadati; Pseudomonadota; Gammaproteobacteria; Pseudomonadales; Pseudomonadaceae. The record is from RNAcentral.